AAUGAACGUUGGCGGCAUGGAUUAGGCAUGCAAGUCGAGCGCGAAGAGUCAUUUGCUUGCAUUUGACUCUGAAAGCGGCGUAAGGGUGAGUAACGCGUAGUUACCUACCUCCGGGUCCGGAAUAGCUGCGGGAAACUGCAGGUAAUGCCGGAUAAUAUCUCAGGAUCAAAGGUGAGAUUCCGCCCGGAGAGGGGACUGCGUCCUACUAGCUUGUUGGUGGGGUAAUGGCCUACCAAGGCUUCGAUGGGUAGCGGGCGUGAGAGCGUGGCCCGUCACGAUGGGACUGAGACACUGCCCAGACACCUACGGGUGGCUGCAGUCGAGAAUCUUCGGCAAUGGGCGAAAGCCUGACCGAGCAAUGCCGCGUGCGGGAUGAAGGCCCUCGGGUUGUAAACCGCGAAAGUAAGGAGGAAGGACCUGCGAAGAGCAGGUUUUGACCGAUCUACAGUAAGGACGGGCUAAGUUCGUGCCAGCCGCCGCCGUAA
Molecule: ribosomal RNA, 485 nt
Filed under: uncultured bacterium
Lineage: Bacteria
Description: partial 16S ribosomal RNA
Rfam family: Bacterial small subunit ribosomal RNA
Source: RNAcentral